Molecule: long non-coding RNA, 1060 nt
Organism: Capsicum annuum
Lineage: Eukaryota; Viridiplantae; Streptophyta; Magnoliopsida; Solanales; Solanaceae
Exons: 6
Source: RefSeq, a predicted model, not a curated record
AAAAAUCUAUCGGAUAAUUCUGCUUUUGAAAGCAAAAAGCUCAAUCUUACUUUCCAAAAAGCUCUAUCUUGUUAAGCAGCCGAUUCACAAACAUUAAAAAAUUAUAUGAAAGUACACGUACCAAAUAUUGUAGAAACAUUAAAUAAAAAAAGAGAAAAGUGAAGCACGAAGCAAAAUCCAAUUGUCUUUCUCAGUUUCGAUCUUAAUUCUUGUAGAUGUAUCUACAUAACCUUGAGCGGGGACUGGUGCUACCAUCUUCAGGGCUGAGUAUAUGAUGUUGAUCUAAAUUUCUCUUUCUUCGCCAUUUCAGUAACAAGGUGCUACCAUCUUCAGGGCUGAGUAUAUGAUGUUGAUCUAAAUUUCUCUUUCUUCGCCAUUUCAGUAACAAGCUCAUCUAAGAAAGUGAAUCUGUCAAUAGGUUGAUCCUUUACAAUUUUCCUUCUUGUUCUUUUCAGCGAGCUAGCUUGACUACACCCACUUCAGAGAAAAAGACGUGUGAUUUUAGUGAGUUAGAGCAUCAAUUUUACAGACCCGUAUGUAAAAAAGUGAGAUGGUCUAUGUUAUACCAGAAAUUGAGCAGUUAAUGCAUGUUAGUCUGGGGCUUUUGGCCGAAGGAAAGUGGAAAAAAAUUGAAAACAAUGAACCUUAAUGAAGCUCGGGCUACAGGUGUUCCUGUUUUGGCCGAUGAUGACUCUGUUGUUGUUGAUUCACAUGUAGAUCGUAUUAAUAAUAAAACAGGUGGAAAUGAUAGUGAUGAAGAGUUAUCCUUCCAUGGCCAGAAUUGGAGAGCCACUGCGUCAUGUUUCUUCUUCAAGAAAUUCGCAUCUCUCCCACAUGGGACUUUGACAUCAAAACAAUUAGGAGUAAUUUUUCUAUCAAUAUUGAGACGGAAGGUGGUGUCGAUAUCAAGUAGACGAUGUUCUUCUUGUGCACUCCUUAAUUUGGUCCAAGCUUUGUAAAACAAAUCGAUAGCCAGGAGGCAUAGAUGAUGGAUUUUUUAAAAUUUGGAAUACCCAUAAGGGACAUGCAUCAGCAGCAACAAAACUGGAGCUCAGGCAAG